Pygocentrus nattereri (red-bellied piranha) is the source of this 312-nucleotide long non-coding RNA. RefSeq lists it as uncharacterized. The record is from RefSeq and is a predicted model, not a curated record. The transcript has 3 exons. Lineage: Eukaryota; Metazoa; Chordata; Actinopteri; Characiformes; Serrasalmidae.
ACCCCUAGACGUGAAUGUGCAAAAAAGGAGGGCUAAGGGCUCAGUGGUAGGGGUGAAGUGUGAAAAGGGAUUGGGCCACAGACCAUAGACCACCAGACUGGAAGUGUUUAUCAGGUCCCCCUAAGACUUUUACCCCCAAAAACAGGUAACUCGAUUUCAGGCCCCCCACCUCCCCUUUAGUUAUCUGAGGACCCUUCGGUUGCUGUAAAAGAGGAAGCUGGAUGCGCUGCCUUUCCUAAAGCAACAGGGCCAGAGAGAACCACAGAUCAACAAAGAGAGGAGAAAAUCAAGCCGCUUCAGAUCUGAAAACAU